RNAcentral lists this unclassified non-coding RNA (379 nucleotides) under uncultured Gammaproteobacteria bacterium. RNAcentral's name for it is "contains 16S-23S intergenic spacer region". Lineage: Bacteria; Pseudomonadati; Pseudomonadota; Gammaproteobacteria. The record is from RNAcentral.
UCCGGUUUGUCACCGGCAGUCUCAUUAAAGUGCCCAACUUAAUGAUGGCAAUUAACGACAAGGGUUGCGCUCGUUGCGGGACUUAACCCAACAUCUCACGACACGAGCUGACGACAGCCAUGCAGCACCUGUGUUCAGGCUCCCUUUCGGGCACCCCCAGAUCUCUCCAGGGUUCCUGACAUGUCAAGGGUAGGUAAGGUUUUUCGCGUUGCAUCGAAUUAAUCCACAUCAUCCACCGCUUGUGCGGGUCCCCGUCAAUUCCUUUGAGUUUUAGCCUUGCGGCCGUACUCCCCAGGCGGUCAACUUCACGCGUUAGCUACGACACUAAGCGGUUUAACCCGCCCAACAUCCAGUUGACAUCGUUUAGGGCGUGGACUAC